Molecule: long non-coding RNA, 271 nt
Filed under: Hordeum vulgare
Lineage: Eukaryota; Viridiplantae; Streptophyta; Magnoliopsida; Poales; Poaceae
Description: long non-coding RNA (HVUL_LNC011406)
Source: RNAcentral
UGCAGAUUGCUGGUUUCAUUCAUGAAGAUAGGAUCAAACACCUUAGGAAUUAUUACAGGGUAACACAAGUCACUAGUCAGAAGACGUCAAGUUGAAGCUAAAGCUAAGCUUGACUAGAGCUCUAAGUAUAUAAGAAGAAAAGAAGAACAAGGAACGGAGUAAAAAGGAGAAGCAAGGUAUUAUCCAACCCCAAGUUCAUUGCCACCUCUAGGAAGCUGCAAGCUUUGUUGUUGAAUACUCCCUCCAUCCGCCUCCUACCUUAGGAUUCCGG